Molecule: ribosomal RNA, 443 nt
Filed under: uncultured bacterium
Lineage: Bacteria
Description: bacterial SSU rRNA
Rfam family: Bacterial small subunit ribosomal RNA
Source: RNAcentral
AACGAACGCUGGCGGCAGGCCUAACACAUGCAAGUCGAGCGCCCCGCAAGGGGAGCGGCGGACGGGUGAGUAACGCGUGGGAACGUACCCUUUGCUACGGAAUAGCCUCGGGAAACUGGGAGUAAUACCGUAUGUGCCCUUCGGGGGAAAGAUUUAUCGGCAAAGGAUCGGCCCGCGUUGGAUUAGGUAGUUGGUGGGGUAAUGGCCUACCAAGCCGACGAUCCAUAGCUGGUUUGAGAGGAUGAUCAGCCACACUGGGACUGAGACACGGCCCAGACUCCUACGGGAGGCAGCAGUGGGGAAUCUUAGACAAUGGGCGCAAGCCUGAUCUAGCCAUGCCGCGUGAUCGAUGAAGGCCUUAGGGUUGUAAAGAUCUUUCAGUGGGAAGAUAAUGACUGUACCCACAGAAGAAGCCCCGGCUAACUCCGUGCCAGCAGCCGCGG